UAGGGUGCUUAUGCUGAGAUUGAUGAGUAUCAAAACCCUAGACCUGAACCGGAUAAUGCUGGCGUAGGAAAGUGGAU
Molecule: non-coding RNA, 77 nt
Filed under: human oral metagenome
Source: RNAcentral